GCCUGGGUAGCUUAGCUGGUUAAGCCUCUGGCUCUGGAUUUCAGCUCAGGUCAUGGUCUCAGAGUCGUGGGAUCGAGCCCCACGCCAGGCU
RNAcentral lists this transfer RNA (91 nucleotides) under Ailuropoda melanoleuca (giant panda). It matches the Rfam family "tRNA". Rfam says of the family: Transfer RNA (tRNA) molecules are approximately 80 nucleotides in length. Their secondary structure includes four short double-helical elements and three loops (D, anti-codon, and T loops). The record is from Rfam by way of RNAcentral. Lineage: Eukaryota; Metazoa; Chordata; Mammalia; Carnivora; Ursidae.